AACGAACGCUGGCGGCAGGCCUAACACAUGCAAGUCGAGCGAGGACUUCGGUCCUAGCGGCGGACGGGUGAGUAACGCGUGGGAACGUGCCCUUUGCUUCGGAAUAGCCCUGGGAAACUGGGAGUAAUACCGGAUGAGCCCUUUGGGGGAAAGAUUUAUCGGCGAAGGAUCGGCCCGCGUUGGAUUAGGUAGUUGGUGGGGUAAUGGCCUACCAAGCCGACGAUCCAUAGCUGGUUUGAGAGGAUGAUCAGCCACACUGGGACUGAGACACGGCCCAGACGACUACGGGAUGCAGCGGUGGGGAGUAUUAGAGAAUGGAGUAAGCGCUGAUAUAGCCAUUCCGCGGGAGAGAGGAAGGCCUUAGGGAUGGAAGGCCCUCUGGGCUGCUAAGAUAAGGACGGUACCGGCAGAAGAAGCACCGGCUAACUACGUG
Molecule: ribosomal RNA, 433 nt
Filed under: uncultured bacterium
Lineage: Bacteria
Description: partial 16S ribosomal RNA
Rfam family: Bacterial small subunit ribosomal RNA
Source: RNAcentral